UACAGAGGAGCCAAGCGUUGUCCGGAUUGACUGGGCGUAAAGCGCACGCAGGCGGAUGCGCGCGUGGGGUGUGAAAUCUGGCCGCUUAACGGCCAGGCGCCAUCCCAUACGGCGCGUCUGGAGCCUUGCAGAGGUCGGUGGAAUUGCCGGUGUAGUGGUGAAAUGCGUAGAGAUGUGGAGGAACACCGAUGGCGAAGGCAGCCCCCUGGGCUAACACUGACGCUCAUGCACGAAAGCGUGGGGAGCAAACAGG
Molecule: ribosomal RNA, 253 nt
Filed under: uncultured bacterium
Lineage: Bacteria
Description: partial 16S ribosomal RNA
Rfam family: Bacterial small subunit ribosomal RNA
Source: RNAcentral